Molecule: long non-coding RNA, 498 nt
Organism: Acipenser ruthenus (sterlet)
Lineage: Eukaryota; Metazoa; Chordata; Actinopteri; Acipenseriformes; Acipenseridae
Exons: 3
Source: RefSeq, a predicted model, not a curated record
AUGCUGCUCUCCUUUCUCCUGUUCGGACUUCCGUUUGUAAAAGAGCACAUGGAUUUUUCUUUUUUGUGUGUGUGCUAGUUUGUUCAAAACUCAAAUUGCAGGCUUCAGGUCUUUGGUGUAGGCCUCUUGCUGAUGCCAGUUGAGCUCAGGUGGGGCGCCAAUUAACUAUUAACGAGCUGAUUUAAGUAAUGAAUUACCGGCUGUGAUCCGCUGUGCUCUGCUUUCCUGGCCUGCUCCAGCGUGGACGUGUGUGUGCUUUCCUCUCGCCUCCCGGAACUUCUUGGGAGGAGGAGAGGCAUCGCAGCUGUGCAGUGUGGGAAAAACAUGAACUCCAGAAGAGCUUGCAUUGGGAGUUGUAUGGUGUGGGGGCACAAACUCAAUGGGGAAAUCGCUGCUUCUGAAUCCCAUUAAAACCUGACUCCAGCUCCAAUCUGGUCUGUGAUUUUUAGCUACUGUAUAAACAGCAUCAUGAUCUCUGUCUUUGUCUCUCACCCUUGU